CUGCCAGUCAGGAGCCUCAUGGUGGUGGCUUCCAGGGCAUUAGUCACAUCACUUUGUCGGCUGGUCUUUGUCCUUUGAGGACAUGACUAUGUUAAGCCCUCACAGUUUCUAUUAGACUGAGAAAUGGUCCAAAAGUGGUUUAUUUCCAAUUAAAUGAAACACAGUGGAAAGGUGCAAAGGUGAGUGUAGAGUCUUGUCAGUCUUCUAAUCCUAUAGUUGAGAAAAGAGGACCUGACAGUCAUCCAUUCCAAAGGGCCAGCUGGGCAUGGGUCCCUCCUUCAGACGCCGUGGCAACCCUGGUCCUGGAAGUUCUGGUGAUGCAGGGACAUCCCCCCUCCUCGCGGUGCACCCAACACACUGACCUGGCCCCCUCCCACCUGGCACAUGGUACACGAGGAAAUUCAGCGUAGCCCCGAAUCUCUCCUCGUUUCCCACAAAUGUGCACCUGGCCACUUGGUUCUUCUGGUAGGCAUCCUCUGGAUAGAUCAUUUUCAUUUUCCUGCUUAAAUAUAAGAAAUAAGGAAUCGAACUCCUUGGUGACCAUUUCAGGUGCCGGCUGAUCUUAAGGUCCAAGCUCAUCACUAAAUGUACUUCUGUUUUUUUUUUUUUUUGUUUUGUUUUUUUUCUGGUACUGGGAAUUGAACUUACAACCUUGAGCUUGCCAGGCAGGUGCUGUGCUGCUGUGCUAAAUCCCCAGCCCUUGUGCUUCUGUUAAUGAGUCCCGGAUGGCACCGGCUCUUCCCCUCCAAGCAGCAAUAAAAAAACACAUGCAGAUAAUCUCCAAAGCAUGUGGCGAGGCUUUUAAAGGAACAUGGCAGGAAGCCCUGAAACGUACAAGCAGAGGUGAGUGGGUGUGAAGGGCGGGGGUGGGUAUGAAGAGGAGGUGGAGGAGGCAGUGUGCGGAAGGCGUCCCGGCGACUCCCAGUUUCCCAGGAGAAGAGUCAACACGGUUCCACGGGGUGCAGAUGCAUCUGGAGCGGUGCUCUCAGCUCCUGUGGGAUUCAGCGGGCAUCUUGAGUCUUGAACUAUGCCAGGCUCGGGGCCCUGGACGCGAAUGCCCACCACCACAGGUGACCAUUCCUGAAGAAGGGACACAUUCACUCUGUCCAGAUAAAAGAAAGGAAAAGUAGAGGACACACCGUCCAGGGCCUCUCCUGAACGUCUGAGUGGGCAGAACAGCCACUGUGGGGCCACCCAGCCACACCCUUGGACUCAUUGCGGCAGACUCAGGCUCACAGGGGUGGGUCUGCACCACCACUGCUGUUGCUUGUGGCCACAGCUACAGCCCCUGACCCCAGAGUGAGAGGCAGGACACAGCCUCUCAGGCGCUGGCUUCCUGUCUUGGGAUUGCCUGCCCCCCUGAUCCCCUGUGGCUCUGCAAGCUGGUCAAU
RNAcentral lists this long non-coding RNA (1391 nucleotides) under Chinchilla lanigera (long-tailed chinchilla). RNAcentral's name for it is "lncRNA (ENSCLAG00000026140.1)". The record is from RNAcentral. Lineage: Eukaryota; Metazoa; Chordata; Mammalia; Rodentia; Chinchillidae.